Lactuca sativa (garden lettuce) is the source of this 107-nucleotide small nucleolar RNA. NCBI's taxonomy places the organism in Eukaryota, Viridiplantae, Streptophyta, Magnoliopsida, Asterales, Asteraceae. The record is from RefSeq and is a predicted model, not a curated record.
AGGUCAUUUUGAGGGUGAUUCCUAAGUAGACCUUUAUAGUGCUCUUAUGCUUCAUACAUCGACUCCCCCAAUUGUUGUUUAAAAUUGGCAAUGACCUUUUUGAGCUU